This 496-nucleotide ribosomal RNA is filed under the name uncultured bacterium. RNAcentral describes it as "partial 16S ribosomal RNA". It matches the Rfam family "Bacterial small subunit ribosomal RNA", at positions 28 to 506 of the family's 1533-position model. The record is from RNAcentral.
GAUGAACGCUGGCGGCGUGCCUAAUACAUGCAAGUCGAGCGAACAGACGAGGAGCUUGCUCCUCUGACGUUAGCGGCGGACGGGUGAGUAACACGUGGAUAACCUACCUAUAAGACUGGGAUCACUUCGGGAAACCGGAGCUAAUACCGGAUAAUAUAUUGAACCGCAUGGUUCAAUAGUGAAAGACGGUUUUGCUGUCACUUCUAGAUGGAUCCGCGCCGCAUUAGCUAGUUGGUAAGGUAACGGCUUACCAAGGCGACGAUGCGUAGCCGACCUGUGAGGGGGAACGGCCACACUGGAACUGAGACGCGGUCCAGACUCCGACGGGAGGCAGCAGUAGGGAAUCUUCCGAAAUGGGCGAAAGCCUGACGGAGCAACGCCGCGUGAGUGAUGAAGGUCUGCGGAUCGUAAAACUCUGUUAUUAGGGAAGAACAAAUGUGUAAGUAACGAUGCACGUCUUGACGGUACCUAAACAGAAAGCCACGGCUAACUACGU